UGCAGUUCGAAUGCCAAGAGUUUUGCAAGCAUACGCCCACCAGAGAGCUCGAAUUUCAUCACAUCUCCGGCUCAGGUCACACGACCGGUCCUGUCUGGCACUGACAGGCACUGGCAUCUCAGUCUGCAAAAUCUGUUCCCACUUCUGAAUCUUCCUUUGAUGUCACCAGGCAAUGAAGACACACCGAAAUGCACUUUUCAGACAAGUGGAGAUUCAAAGAAAAAGGUGUCCACGUGCAAAAGGCCUGUCUUUGUAUAGAUCCUAAAACCUGAUAAAGCUCACCAUUGCACCAGUAUUUCAGCUAACCUGCUUUAAUGGUUUUUAAAUCAGUUGUUUAUUUUACCUUACAAUGCA
This 354-nucleotide long non-coding RNA is filed under the name Lepisosteus oculatus (spotted gar). Its description in RNAcentral is "lncRNA (ENSLOCG00000021801.1)". The record is from RNAcentral. Lineage: Eukaryota; Metazoa; Chordata; Actinopteri; Semionotiformes; Lepisosteidae.